CGCCUAGUUAUCAACAGUCCUCUCACCUGAGAUUGAAGGACACGAAAGCUGAGCCAUUGUUGACCGCCAACUUUAUUUCGCAGGAAAUCUGGAUUCCUGGUUGGCGAGAAUGGUACAGUAACUCAGCUUUACAAACGCGUUAAAGCCAUUCUCAAUCCUUAUAAAGACCUCAAAACCACCGAUUAAGUCACAAAGUUUCGCACAAAAGCCAUUAAUUCUACAAGCUCUUCGGUUAGAGAACGCAUCACAUGGAACCACAAGAAGGAACUAGUGUUUUCGGGGAGAUUCCUGGAGACAUAUAUAUCUUAAUGGCAGGGACGGAUUCAACAACCAUCUCAUCUGGAGGGUCGUCUGGGUACAACACUGAUACCACAUUUGGUCGAAGUUUUAACUCAGAUAGCCGGGUGGGAUUCGCUAGUAUAAUGGUCCAGGAGAGCAGCGAUGAAACUGAUCUCGAUGUUUCACUCUUAGGGAACAUUAGCGAAAACGACAACAGGUCUAUGUUAGGUGUUCCACUUAAUUCUGACAUAGAUGUCAACGAUGUUGAAUCUAACAGUUACUGUAUUGAUAUUAGGAAGGAGAGAAGGCAACUUCGAAUAAGUCGGUUGUCUAGGCAAGAAACAGCUACUCCAAGAAUAGGAUAGUUGUGGUACGCUGUACCGAAGUAUGUGAUGGCGUUUGAUGGUGAAUGGAUGCAAAAGUAAUUUUAUGGCCGAAACGAAAUGUAAAUUAUUGAAACAUAACUCAACUAUGAUGUUUAUACCCAUUAUGUUACGAUGAUGAUGCGUAAGUGAACGCACAUUAUUGAAACCGAAUUAGUAUGCUUAUACCCAUUAUGUUACGAUGAUGAUGCGUAAGUGACCGCACUAUAUUGAAACCGAAUUAGAAUGCUUAUACCCAUUAUGUUACGAUGAUGAUGCGUAAGUGACCGCACUAUAUUGAAACCGAAUUAGUAUGCUUAUACCCAUGUUAUUACAUUGGUGAUGCCAAUAUUGGUUGUCUUGCUAUCGCAUUUUCAAAGCAACACAGCCAUAAAGAAUAUGUACAUAUGCCUGAGGUCUAUAAUAAUUGAGAAAAAAUAGCGCAUCUGGGAGUAACAGGGGCUACCAUCCCCUACCCAGCGCGUCCACAGGUGGUGGAUAGUGGAAAUUCCUCGUAGAGGAAAGCUGUGAAUAAGGAAUAAACAGCCGCGAACCAACUGGAAAAAUUAUCUCGAUAUUUAUAAUGUUUAGGUAAAAGAUAUUUAAAUAUCUAAGCUAUUGCUAUUGUAUGAUGUUUUACUGUCGUUGAAUUAUUUUAUGUUUGAUUGUAAUAUAAAAUAUUUUAGUAACA
This is a long non-coding RNA of Physella acuta, 1332 nucleotides long. RefSeq lists it as uncharacterized. NCBI's taxonomy places the organism in Eukaryota, Metazoa, Mollusca, Gastropoda, Physidae. The record is from RefSeq and is a predicted model, not a curated record.